RNAcentral lists this long non-coding RNA (1618 nucleotides) under Triticum aestivum (bread wheat). RNAcentral describes it as "long non-coding RNA (TAES_LNC027688)". Lineage: Eukaryota; Viridiplantae; Streptophyta; Magnoliopsida; Poales; Poaceae. The record is from RNAcentral.
AUAAAUUCAAAACAUUCAAUUCAUGUUCACUUUGCACAACUGCACUCUUCUAUUCAUCACAAGAUGCCAUUGACCAACGCAUUUAUUCAACAUAUAUAGAAGAUUCAUUAGUUUUCCUUGCUACAACCAUUAAAGAAAUAUUCAAGUCAACAUACAAGUUGUGGCAUGCUACAAAAUAUGGGUCAAGUUCAUAAGAGACUAAAUAUUCGAUCACUCUACAAAACACUAUGGCAGAGCCCAAGUCUUCGGUCACCAAACCGACAUCAACUUCCAUUUGAAGAAAAUAGAAGAUGUACAAAAGCCAUAAUAUCUUCGACUUGAUACUUCCCUCCAUUUCACCCUACAAAAGCCCCAUAUGUUUGAGCAAUAUUAUCAUAGUACAUUUUGUCAAACUUCUGAGUUAAUCAAGUCCAAAGAACCAAAAACAGAAGAUGUACAACAAACUGGCUUGGUACUGUAGUUAUAUGUGUAGGUCAAAGGCCGAAACAUACUAAUAAUCAUUUAAAUGAAAUAAAGAAACCCAGAUACAUGCACAUUUAUCAGGAAGCAGCCGUGAGCAUAUAGCCCGAUUUUGGAGAAAAUAAAGCAUUAGACCAGCAUUCAACUUCUUACAAACUCACGCAUACAAGUUCUUACAAACACAUGCGUACAUAUCCAUGAGAGUAUGCAUGUUACAUGAGAGUUUUCAUAUGCUGAUAAAAGAAGAGUAUCAAACAAGGGUGAGUAUGCAUCUACAUCAUUCAAAGUUAGCUACAGUUUUAAUCAAACAUACAACUCUAAACUAUAGCAAUUGAGAACCAACAGGUCAUUGUGAAAUUGAUCAGUUAGAUUGCUAGACCCAGCAGUGCCUUACAAACACUGAUAACCUUUUCUUCUUUUUAUAGUAUGGAAAUCAUAAAGUUAUUUAUUCAUUUUUUGAAACGGUUAAAGUUAUUUUUGACUACUACAGCUACAUCCAAUGUAAGACUACACAUGAACAUAUGUGAAUGAUCAACUAUUGUAUGUUGAUGCAUAAGUUUGCAGGAUACUUAAAUACUGUUUUCUUUCAUGCUCACUAGUCGCUUCUCAGAAAACUGAAUCUGAAAGCACCUCCUUACUUGGUUUUCAACUACUGGAGAGGUCGUUCUGUAUUGGUCGUGUAUAAUCAUUCUCGGUUCUCCUGCAAUACAAGCAGAAAAAAAACAUGAGCAACGAACCACCACAUAUACAAUGUCAGACCAUGCAACUGCUAAUUACCGUAACGGCAAAAGACCUCUCUGUUCAUCCAUAGUCCAUUUAACUACUACAUGCUCUCAGUUCAUCUAUAGGCCAAGUUCAAAGCAUAUGCUCAUUUAAAAACUUGGGCAUGAUCAUCUAUUGUAGUACUGGUACAAAAACAAAUUGCACAGUUAUGGUCGAUUGUACCACUCACGUUAUUUGAAAAAACAUACACGCAAAACAAUCACAAAUAGAGAAGCACCACACAAGUACUAAGAACAAUAAAUAAACUUUUUUUUGCGUGGUACUUUUUCUUAUCAGUAAACAAAGAUAUAUAUCAACCCACGCAAAAAGAUAUAUAUUAAAACGAAAGCAAAAAUAAAACUUAAAGCAUACGUACUCUAAUGCAGAAUGAAUGAAG